Globicephala melas (long-finned pilot whale) is the source of this 1140-nucleotide long non-coding RNA. RefSeq lists it as uncharacterized. NCBI's taxonomy places the organism in Eukaryota, Metazoa, Chordata, Mammalia, Artiodactyla, Delphinidae. The record is from RefSeq and is a predicted model, not a curated record.
AAGAGAAGCUGUGUUUCGCUUGCCCAGCCCGCGGUAGCUGGAGGGGUCGCGAAGUCAGCCCGCAGCAGCUGGUGGGGACGCGAGGUCAGUCCGGGGCAGUUGGAGGGGACUUGACCUCAGCCUGUGGCAGUUGGUGGCCGUCUUGCUCCCAUCAAGGUAGAGCCGCCUGUGAGGAUGACACCAGUAAGCAGAACCCAGAGGCGGGGAGAGACCGUUUCUGCUGACGUCCGUGAGCUCCAGGUGCAGCCCUGCCGUAAACCGUCCACCUGUGGACUUAGUUACGCUGUCUGCUGCAUGAGAAUGGAGACCAGGUGUCUGGAGCCUGCCCAGCACACAGUAAGGCCUCAGUGAACGUGCACUGGGUGUGUGGACGCUGAGGCCACAGACGAGAACGUUCCAGGCAGUGAUGAAGCUGCAAUGAAGGCUCCUGUCCAUCUGUCUGUCCAUCCACGGCUCUGGGCUCCUCCGCCUCCUGCCCUCCCCAUGCUCCCUGCGUGGUGCGUCCUCCCUCUCCUCCAGGACUUGUCUUGCAGGCCCUGUGAUGGUGAAAUGAGUUUUGAUGGCCAAUUUUGGAGGAUGCCUCGCAAUUGAAAACUGGCUCUUCUAACUUCAGAGAUUCAGCUUAUGGCAUGGACUAUGUUGAAGAGAAGUGGUGAGACUGGGCAUCCUUGUCAUGUUCCAGAUUUUAGUGAAUUUGCCUGUGAAGCCAUCUGGUCCUGGACUUUUGCUGUACGCGGGCCUCUCACUGUUGUGGCCUCUCCCGUUGCGGAGCACAGGCUCCAGACACGCAGGCUCAGAGGCCAUGGCUCACAGGCCCAGCUGCUUCACGGCAUGUGGGAUCUUCCCGGACCGGGGACCUGUGUCCCCUGCAUCAGCAGGCGGACUCUCAACCACUGGCGCCACCAGGGAAGCCUGGUCUGUACUUUUUAAGCUAAGCCUUUACUGAAACUAGAAUUUUUGUCUCUGAGAGAAAGUUGUACUGAUAACCAAAAUGAGGAUAUUGUCUUCAUUUUACAUGUUUUGUUUGUUUAUUUAAAAUUACUUGAAAUGAUAUUUGGUUAGUUUCUUCAUGAUAAUGAGAUCCUCCCAAUGUGUUAUAUUGUACAAAUAUCCUCACUUCCAAUCAUCUAUUAUAAGUUU